UCCCUGGCGAUCCAGUGGUUAGGAUUCUGCACUUACACUGCAGAGGGCCCAGGUUCAGUCCCUGGUCAGGGAA
Bubalus bubalis (water buffalo) is the source of this 73-nucleotide non-coding RNA. The record is from the annotation of a RefSeq genome assembly. Lineage: Eukaryota; Metazoa; Chordata; Mammalia; Artiodactyla; Bovidae.